RNAcentral lists this ribosomal RNA (283 nucleotides) under uncultured bacterium. Its description in RNAcentral is "partial 16S ribosomal RNA". It matches the Rfam family "Bacterial small subunit ribosomal RNA", at positions 59 to 339 of the family's 1533-position model. The record is from RNAcentral.
AAGUCGAGGGGUAACAGGGAAGCUUGCUUUCGCUGACGACCGGCGCACGGGUGCGUAACGCGUAUACAAUCUACCUUAUACUGGAGAAUAGCCCUAAGAAAUUGGGAUUAAUGCUCCAUAAUAAUUAGUUAUCACAUGGUAAUUAGUUUAAAGCUUUUGCGGUAUAAGAUGAGUAUGCGUCCUAUUAGUUAGUUGGUGAGGUAACGGCUCACCAAGACAGCGAUAGGUAGGGGGCCUGAGAGGGUUAUCCCCCACACUGGUACUGAGACACGGACCAGACUCC